RNAcentral lists this non-coding RNA (785 nucleotides) under unidentified. The record is from RNAcentral.
GUUGGGUUAGGUUUUAUUUAGGUUUUUAUAAAGUUUUAUUGUGGCUUUGUAGUUUCUUAGUUGAUCGGUGUAUAUAUGACUUUUAAGGUUAUUGUUCUAGAGGAUUAUUAUUGUAGUAUUCAAUUUUAAGUAUUAACUUAGGUUAGACUUGGGGAUUUGAUUUAGUACAAACAUAAUUUGUGCCAGCAGUAGCGGUUAUACAAAUUGUGCUUAGGAAUUUUUUUAAGGUCAGUGAGGUGUAGAAUUUUGAGCUGGUAUUUGAAUUUUUUAGGUGAAAUUUUAUGUUCAAUUUAAGCUUGGGAUUUGUUUCUUUAUUUGGGAAAUUUUUAUUUAGACUAGGAUUAGAUACCCUAUUAUUAUUAAUGUGAAUUAAGUGUCUUUAGUUAUUAGUAGUUAUGUUCUUUAAAGUUAAAAAAUUUGGCGGUAUUUUAGUCUGUUCAGAGGAACCUGUCUUUUGAUCGAUAGUCCACGAUUAUUUUAACUUCAGUUAAUUAAUUUAUAUAUCGUUGUUUACAAAAAUUUUAGGAGGAUUAAUAAUUUUUAGUAUUUGGUAUUGCGUUGUAUUUCAGAUCAAGGUGUAGUUUAUAUUGGAGUUAAGAUGGGUUACAUUAUUUUUAAAUGUGGUUUUAGGUUUUAUAAGCUUGGAUAAAUUGGAUUUGAUAGUAAAUUAUUAAUUUAUGUUUUUUGAUUUAGCUCUAAAAUAUGCACAUAUCGCCCGUCGCUUUCACUUUAACGUGAAAUAAGUCGUAACAAAGUAGGCUUAUUGGAAGAUGUGCCUGGAAUGA